ACGGCUGGCAGAAGGGCGUUAGCUCGAAUUUCAGGUCAAAAAUCGAUUUUUGAUAUUUCAUGUCAUUUAAUAGAGUUUUCAAAGCUCUUUCAAAUGAUGUGAUCGAGAUGGCAUAAAACGAAGUAAAUGAUUACGUAAUCGACAAUAGUAAAAGGGCGUUAGCACAAACUGUCAGAUAUCGCGCUAAGCAGAAGGGCGUAAGCCCUCUACGCCCUUUGCAUAUUAGGCGCGAGCGUAAAUUUUGAUCAAAGCAGAAGGGCGUUAUCGCGAAGCUGACGUCUGCUAGGCCUGUGGAUUUGCACAGGUAGGCUGCAGCAUGGAGCCAACAAGAGAAUUGCUUGUUCAGUGGAAAAAAGAUGGCUCCAAAAAACGUGGUAGUGUAUGGAGAUAGAUUCAAUGUCCCUGUAUUCCAAUAAAAGGGACAAAAGUCUUCAUGCCUUGGAAAGGCAGGAGAUGGGAGGGAGUUGUCCUGUCAGUGGAUGAUGAGUCUGAGGAAAGUGAUGAUGACAGCAUACCAGAUCAACCAAGGCUUGACGUUGGAGAUGUCGGUGUCGGUGUCAGAAUGACAGACCAUGGACCUCUACCAGAUCAACCAAGGCUUGACGUUGGAGAUGUCCGGUC
This is a long non-coding RNA of Strongylocentrotus purpuratus (purple sea urchin), 621 nucleotides long. RefSeq lists it as uncharacterized. Lineage: Eukaryota; Metazoa; Echinodermata; Echinoidea; Camarodonta; Strongylocentrotidae. The record is from RefSeq and is a predicted model, not a curated record. The transcript has 3 exons.